Molecule: long non-coding RNA, 1575 nt
Filed under: Medicago truncatula (barrel medic)
Lineage: Eukaryota; Viridiplantae; Streptophyta; Magnoliopsida; Fabales; Fabaceae
Description: long non-coding RNA (MTRU_LNC002844)
Source: RNAcentral
UCGCCACGUCGUCUUCUCCAAAACACCACGUACACUUUUGUUUUUACCCUUCCAAUCACUUGAACAGUCGAUUAUCCACAUGUCUAGGUCUCGAUGGAAGUUUUUGUCCAUUUUCAAUCAUCAUCAUAAGUGAAUAUCUUGAGAGCUAAGCCAAGUCCAAAUAUCACAUUUCACAUGAAAUUAUUUGAAUUGAUUUUGAUGUGAUUAGAUUAUUGGAUGUAAAGAUUAAGAUCAUAGUGUUUGACUGUUUGUAGUUGGAUUUGGUUUAAAAAUAACUUCAUAUCAGUUUUAAACAAUUAAAUAUAUAGAAGGAUAUAUAGUGUUAAUUUAUGGAUUGUAAAUUUUUAUUUUUUUUUGAAAAACCUAAAAUAGAAUUUAUUAAGAUAGCAAUGAAUCUUAACCAACAUAAGGAGUGCUAGGUUAGAGGUCUUACAGUAGCAACAAACAAAGGAUGAUGGGAAGUCCCCAAUGAAAAACUCAUACACCUGUGAAAAUAAAGAAAAUCCAAAAACCUAUAGGAAACGUCUCCUAACAAAGGGCUAUCUCCGAAAUCAAUAAAUAGAAACACAAAAACAAAGCUAACACCACGAUCAACGAAACAACAUAAACAAAAUCCUCAAGCAUCGUCACAACUGCCACAAAAACAACUUCUACCACCCACAUUCCGCUGCUCGCACACAACCCCUGAACACCAACUUAAAAACCUACACCACAACCAACAACCUUUGAAGAACAGUCUGAAAAAAAACCCCAAACACCAUCAUUAGCUCUCCUAAGCACCAUUAACUUGUAAAUUUAUUCUUAGAAUUAUGAUUAUUGGAACUUUACAUUUUAAAGUUUAUUUCAAGUUUUAACAAAUUAUGAUUAAAAUGCUUUUUAUUCUUGGAAAAAUCCUUUUAUUCUCAUGUUAAAGAGUGAAAAUCAUAUGUUUUUAUGUAAACAAGACAUAAUUAAAUGUCUUUAAGGUUUAAUUUAACUAACAAUGUCAUAAAUUGAAUUUCUUUAUGCGAUUUCAAAUCGAUAUUUCAUUGAACAUAAAGCAAAAAAAAAGUAAAAAUAACCGGCCACCCUCUAAGUAUUUUAACACUUUUUUUUUUAAAAUCAAAACACUAAAGUAGUUCUACCCACUUAAUCUGAUGUAAAUAAUAAUACAUCAAUAUUUUAAGAAGAGUCAUAUUAUCAACUCUUUCAACAUUCUAAACACCAGUAAACAAUAAAACACAACUUUUGGUGCAUAUGAUAUGCUCAAUAAUUAAAAAUCCGAACCAAAAAAGUAUAGGAGUAUGUGUACAAGAGUGAGAUAGCCUUUGAAAUCAUUAUGCACUUCACAAUAUAAAAAGCAUAAAACGGGACCUCUCACCUUAGUGUGCUAUAGUUUUCUUCAAGUUAGGAAAAGAAGACUCAAAUAAACACUGAAAUCAGGACUCGUAAUCAUCGUCAUUUGUUUUGUUGAUAAAAUAGUUACUACAGCUCAUCAUAUCAUUAUAAAAAAUAAAAUUAGAAUCAUUGUGAAUGCGUUCAAUUAUUUAAAAGUAACCAUGCAUUUAUAUAUACGAACAAGGCAUGAGAAAGAGA